CCCGCUGACGAGCGGCGGACGGGUGAGUAACGCGUAGGAAUCUACCCAGUAGCGGGGGAUAGCUCGGGGAAACUCGAAUUAAUACCGCAUACGACCUACGGGUGAAAGCAGGGGAUCUUCGGACCUUGCGUUAUUGGAGCGGCCGAUAUCUGAUUAGCUUGUUGGUAGGGUAAAAGCCUACCAAGGCGACGAUCAGUAGCUGGUCUGAGAGGACGAUCAGCCACACUGGAACUGAGACACGGUCCAGACUCC
Molecule: ribosomal RNA, 252 nt
Filed under: uncultured bacterium
Lineage: Bacteria
Description: partial 16S ribosomal RNA
Rfam family: Bacterial small subunit ribosomal RNA
Source: RNAcentral